Molecule: transfer RNA, 83 nt
Filed under: Bigelowiella natans CCMP2755
Lineage: Eukaryota; Cercozoa; Chlorarachniophyceae
Description: tRNA-Leu for anticodon CAA
Rfam family: tRNA
About the family: Transfer RNA (tRNA) molecules are approximately 80 nucleotides in length. Their secondary structure includes four short double-helical elements and three loops (D, anti-codon, and T loops). Further hydrogen bonds mediate the characteristic L-shaped molecular structure. tRNAs have two regions of fundamental functional importance: the anti-codon, which is responsible for specific mRNA codon recognition, and the 3' end, to which the tRNAs corresponding amino acid is attached (by aminoacyl-tRNA synthetases). tRNAs cope with the degeneracy of the genetic code in two manners: having more than one tRNA (with a specific anti-codon) for a particular amino acid; and 'wobble' base-pairing, i.e. permitting non-standard base-pairing at the 3rd anti-codon position.
Source: RNAcentral
GACUGGAUGGCCGAGCUGGUCUAAGGCGCUACGUUAAGGCCGUAGUCCAUUCGUGGGCGAGGGUUCGAAUCCCUCUUCAGUCA